Molecule: ribosomal RNA, 551 nt
Filed under: uncultured bacterium
Lineage: Bacteria
Description: bacterial SSU rRNA
Rfam family: Bacterial small subunit ribosomal RNA
Source: RNAcentral
UAGGGAAUCUUCGGCAAUGGACGGAAGUCUGACCGAGCAACGCCGCGUGAGUGAAGAAGGUUUUCGGAUCGUAAAGCUCUGUUGUAAGAGAAGAACGAGUGUGAGAGUGGAAAGUUCACACUGUGACGGUAUCUUACCAGAAAGGGACGGCUAACUACGUGCCAGCAGCCGCGGUAAUACGUAGGUCCCGAGCGUUGUCCGGAAUUAUUGGGCGUAAAGAGCUCGUAGGCGGCUGGUCGCGUCUGUCGUGAAAUCCUCUGGCUUAACUGGGGGCUUGCGGUGAGUACGGGCCGGCUUGAGUGCGGUAGGGGAGACUGGAACUCCUGGUGUAGCGGUGGAAUGCGCAGAUAUCAGGAAGAACACCGGUGGCGAAGGCGGGUCUCUGGGCCGUUACUGACGCUGAGGCUCGAAAGCGUGGGGAGCAAACAGGAUUAGAUACCCUGGUAGUCCACGCCGUAAACGAUGAGUGCUAGGUGUUAGACCCUUUCCGGGGUUUAGUGUCGCAGCUAACGCAUUAAGCACUCCGCCUGGGGAGUACGACCGCAAGGUUG